This 998-nucleotide ribosomal RNA is filed under the name Staphylococcus aureus. RNAcentral's name for it is "partial 23S ribosomal RNA". It matches the Rfam family "Bacterial large subunit ribosomal RNA", at positions 171 to 1167 of the family's 2925-position model. The record is from RNAcentral. Lineage: Bacteria; Bacillati; Bacillota; Bacilli; Caryophanales; Staphylococcaceae.
AUCAGAAGGCACACCCGGAGAACUGAAACAUCUUAGUACCCGGAGGAAGAGAAAGAAAAUUCGAUUCCCUUAGUAGCGGCGAGCGAAACGGGAAGAGCCCAAACCAACAAGCUUGCUUGUUGGGGUUGUAGGACACUCUAUACGGAGUUAUAAAGGACGACAUUAGACGAAUCAUCUGGAAAGAUGAAUCAAAGAAGGUGAUAAUCCUGUAGUCGAAAAUGUUGUCUCUCUUGAGUGGAUCCUGAGUACGACGGAGCACGUGAAAUUCCGUCGGAAUCUGGGAGGACCAUCUCCUAAGGCUAAAUACUCUCUAGUGACCGAUAGUGAACCAGUACCGUGAGGGAAAGGUGAAAAGCACCCCGGAAGGGGAGUGAAAUAGAACCUGAAACCGUGUGCUUACAAGUAGUCAGAGCCCGUUAAUGAGUGAUGGCGUGCCUUUUGUAGAAUGAACCGGCGAGUUACGAUUUGAUGCAAGGUUAAGCAGUAAAUGUGGAGCCGUAGCGAAAGCGAGUCUGAAUAGGGCGUUUAGUAUUUGGUCGUAGACCCGAAACCAGGUGAUCUACCCUUGGUCAGGUUGAAGUUCAGGUAACACUGAAUGGAGGACCGAACCGACUUACGUUGAAAAGUGAGCGGAUGAACUGAGGGUAGCGGAGAAAUUCCAAUCGAACCUGGAGAUAGCUGGUUCUCUCCGAAAUAGCUUUAGGGCUAGCCUCAAGUGAUGAUUAUUGGAGGUAGAGCACUGUUUGGACGAGGGGCCCCUCUCGGGUUACCGAAUUCAGACAAACUCCGAAUGCCAAUUAAUUUAACUUGGGAGUCAGAACAUGGGUGAUAAGGUCCGUGUUCGAAAGGGAAACAGCCCAGACCACCAGCUAAGGUCCCAAAAUAUAUGUUAAGUGGAAAAGGAUGUGGCGUUGCCCAGACAACUAGGAUGUUGGCUUAGAAGCAGCCAUCAUUUAAAGAGUGCGUAAUAGCUCACUAGUCGAGUGACACUGCGCCGA